Molecule: long non-coding RNA, 362 nt
Organism: Mesocricetus auratus (golden hamster)
Lineage: Eukaryota; Metazoa; Chordata; Mammalia; Rodentia; Cricetidae
Exons: 3
Source: RefSeq, a predicted model, not a curated record
GGUUACCAGGGCAGAAAGUGGUCAUGUAUCUGUGCAAAGGGUACUGACAAAUUCUUCACGCUUGGGAAUCCAGGAAGGAGGUGCGCAGGAGCAGAGGGCUUUGCUGUAUUGUCAUCUCUCCGCUUAACCCUGUGCAAAGAGAACAUUCUGGAAGGAUGGGGUCACUGGUUACUCCAUCACCUAGUUCUUCUUCAAGGAAUCCAGCUUCUUUCACUCUGGAUGCUGCCACAAUGCAGGGGACAUGGCUGCAAAUAUUUCUUGGAUGGGGUUUGUCUCACAGUAUAGUCACCAAAGAAACACUCAAGCUUCCUCUUCCUAGUUUCAAAUUUUAACAUUCUGUAAUAAAGUUCAUCACAUCCAUA